CUACGGAACUCUCUGGAUGCACUUUCCGGCUAUUUACUACUCCGGGUGUUACUCCUCAUCUGUUUCCGAAGAUG
Molecule: small nucleolar RNA, 74 nt
Filed under: Trypanosoma rangeli SC58
Lineage: Eukaryota; Euglenozoa; Kinetoplastea; Trypanosomatida; Trypanosomatidae
Description: Trypanosomatid snoRNA TB10Cs5H3
Rfam family: Trypanosomatid snoRNA TB10Cs5H3
Source: Rfam by way of RNAcentral